CGGACGGCUGAGUAAUGCAUAGGAAUCUGCCCGGUAGUGGGGGAUAACCUGGGGAAACCCAGGUUAAUACCGCAUACGUCCUACGGGAGAAAGCAGGGGCUCUUCGGACCUUGCGCUAUCGGAUGAGCCUAUGUCGGAUUAGCUGGUUGGUGAGGUAAUGGCUCACCAAGGCGACGAUCCGUAGCUGGUCUGAGAGGAUGAUCAGCCACAUCGGGACUGAGACACGGCCCGAACUCCUACGGGAGGCAGCAGUGGGGAAUAUUGGACAAUGGGCGCAAGCCUGAUCCAGCCAUGCCGCGUGUGUGAAGAAGGCCCUCGGGUUGUAAAGCACUUUCAGUGGGGAAGAAAGCCUGGUGGUUAAUACCCGUCAGGAAGGACAUCACCCACAGAAGAAGCACCGGCUAACUCCGUGCCAGCAGCCGCGGUAAUACGGAGGGUGCGAGCGUUAAUCGGAAUUACUGGGCGUAAAGCGCGCGUAGGUGGCUUGAUAACCCGGUUGUGAAAGCCCCGGGCUCAACCUGGGAACGGCAUCCGGAACUGUCAGGCUAGAGUGCAGGAGAGGAAGGUAGAAUUCCCGGUGUAGCGGUGAAAUGCGUAGAGAUCGGGAGGAAUACCAGUGGCGAAGGCGGCCUUCUGGACUGACACUGACACUGAGGUGCGAAAGCGUGGGUAGCAAACAGGAUUAGAUACCCUGGUAGUCCACGCCGUAAACGAUGUCGACUAGCCGUUGGG
Molecule: ribosomal RNA, 732 nt
Filed under: uncultured bacterium
Lineage: Bacteria
Description: bacterial SSU rRNA
Rfam family: Bacterial small subunit ribosomal RNA
Source: RNAcentral